Long non-coding RNA from Sphaerodactylus townsendi, 645 nucleotides. RefSeq lists it as uncharacterized. NCBI's taxonomy places the organism in Eukaryota, Metazoa, Chordata, Lepidosauria, Squamata, Sphaerodactylidae. The record is from RefSeq and is a predicted model, not a curated record. The transcript has 2 exons.
UGUUACUCACUUGCCAUGCAGCCCGGAAACCAUACAGCACCCCAAGUCUGUCUACAAUUUGGCUCAUUUUCCUUUUUGAUUGUGUCUGGGAGUUCUCCUGUGCUUGUUUGGAUCAACCCGGCGAAGAGAGUGGGUAGAUACUGAAAAAUAACUGCUAGGCUUGUCCUACCUUCCUUCCACUCUAAACCACAUAGUGAUCUCCAGUCGACAAACUGAGGCAUGAAGGCUUAGUUGCUCUUGUCAUUCUUUUUUUCUUCUUCUGUAUCGCUGGGCAGGUACACUUUCAGGGAAUGGCCAAUACCCUGGCAUUUGAACGCAAAGCACAACAGGAGGCGAUUCUACUAUCUGAAAAAUGUUGAGCAUUUUAACAGGCUUCGUCUUGAAAAAUAUUUGCGGGAAGAAGGCAAAAAGAGAGACAGAGAAAGAAACCGACAGAGGAAGCUAUUGAAAAGAUGCCCUCACCUUGCCAAAAAGUCUCAGAGUUAAAAGUCGAAAUUGUUCCGUAUUUGGUAGAUGGCAGGCAUGACAAACACAGUCACACUGAGCUAAGGAGUGAUACAUGCAAUGAGAACUAUCAUGUGAUUUUUUUUUUUAAAAGCCCUCGGCGUUUUCUUACCAAAAUAAAGCUGCUCUGUAUACCUGUCA